CAGCAGCCGCGGUAAUACGAAGGGUGCAAGCGUUACUCGGAAUUACUGGGCGUAAAGCGUGCGUAGGUGGUGGUUUAAGUCCGUUGUGAAAGCCCUGGGCUCAACCUGGGAAUUGCAGUGGAUACUGGGUCACUAGAGUGUGGUGGAGGAUAGUGGAAUUUCCGGUGUAGCAGUGAAAUGCGUAGAGAUCGGAAGGAACAUCUGUGGCGAAGGCGACUAUCUGGGCCAACACUGACACUGAGGCACGAAAGCGUGGGGAGCAAACAGGAUUAGAUACCCCAGUAGUCCCUGUCUCUUAUAC
Molecule: ribosomal RNA, 301 nt
Filed under: uncultured bacterium
Lineage: Bacteria
Description: partial 16S ribosomal RNA
Rfam family: Bacterial small subunit ribosomal RNA
Source: RNAcentral